CCUACGGGUGGCAGCAGUGGGGAAUAUUGCACAAUGGGGGAAACCCUGAUGCAGCAACGCCGCGUGAGUGAAGAAGUAUUUCGGUAUGUAAAGCUCUAUCAGCAGGGAAGAAGAUGACGGUACCUGAUUAAGAAGCCCCGGCUACCUAAGGCCCGGCGGCCGCGGUAAGACGUAGGGGGCAGGGGUUAUCCGGAUUUACGGGGUGGAAAGGGAGCGCAGACGGCAGGGGAAGUCUGGAGUGAAAGCCCGGGGCCCAACCCCGGAACUGCUCUGGAAACUGUGCGGCUAGAGUACUGGAGGGGCAGGCGGAAUUCCUAGUGUAGCGGUGAAAUGCGUAGAUAUUAGGAGGAACACCAGUGGCGAAGGCGGCCUGCUGGACAGUAACUGACGUUGAGGCUCGAAAGCGUGGGGAGCAAACAGGAUUAGAUACCCCAGUAGUC
RNAcentral lists this ribosomal RNA (440 nucleotides) under uncultured bacterium. Its description in RNAcentral is "partial 16S ribosomal RNA". It matches the Rfam family "Bacterial small subunit ribosomal RNA", at positions 338 to 795 of the family's 1533-position model. The record is from RNAcentral.